GUCUACGGCCAUGCCACCCUGAACAAGCUGGAUCCCGUCUGAUCUCGGAAGCUAAGGAGGAUCGGGCCUGGUUAGCACUUGAAUGGGAGACCACCUAGGAAGACCAGGUGCUGUAGGCA
RNAcentral lists this ribosomal RNA (119 nucleotides) under Pteropus alecto (black flying fox). The record is from RNAcentral. RNAcentral also lists the same sequence under 1 other name. Lineage: Eukaryota; Metazoa; Chordata; Mammalia; Chiroptera; Pteropodidae.